CAUUGUCAUGAGCAGCCUCAAGCUCUGGUUUCUUUCCCUAGCCGACGAUGCCUGUUCGAGGGAGGUUAGGACAGCAACACUGAUGGCCAGUAGCAUUCAUCCGAGAGGAGUUUAUGGAAUUGGAUUAAUUCUUGAAGGCAGUGGCUUCGCUUGG
Molecule: long non-coding RNA, 154 nt
Organism: Zingiber officinale
Lineage: Eukaryota; Viridiplantae; Streptophyta; Magnoliopsida; Zingiberales; Zingiberaceae
Exons: 3
Source: RefSeq, a predicted model, not a curated record